CGGGCGUCCAGGCCGGGUCUGCCGAGCCCUCCGUGCCCCAGGCCGACCUCGCGCGGCCCCGCGCCCGAGCUGAGGAUGUCCGGCCGCCGGGAGUCGCUGUUCUGCAGGAUGCCUGCGGGGCUGUUUUCGGUUCGCGCUCAGCGUGCGGUGUUUACCGUAAGCUCCGUCUCAAACCUGCGCGAGCGGCGGCUGCCUGGGGAGGACAGGUUUUGCGGAGACCCAUUUCCCUGCCUCACACGGAGCCAAGGCCGAUCGAGAGACAGUCCCUUUAGGUUUUCUCUGCGGGGCAAACUACCAGAGCUCAGACCCCGGGGGGCUCCCAAGGGCAGAUGGGGUCUCCUGCCACCCUCGGGUUGUGGCCGGGGGUGCGGCGCGAACCCCUCCCUGGGCGUCCUGUGCCACGUGCUGGGCCAGCAGGCUGUGGGCAGAGGCCACGCAGCCUGGGGUGUGCUGCGGAGCGGGGCUCGGCCUCUCGCGCUUUGCCACUGCCGAGAGCAUCCCCGGCCCGUGCGUCCGUCUGGGAGGCGGGAGGCGCGUGGGGCAGACGUGGCCCCACCUGGAGCUUGGAACCCCCUCCAGCUGCGCUGAGCCGGUGAGCGAGGUCUUCACACACUGAGCGUCCCGUCCCUUCAGAGCGUUAGUAUGGCCGUGGCCGGUCUAGAGGAUCAGGCUGCAAAGCGGAGGGGGCCCUGAGCAGUUACCGCCUGUGAGGCGCCCGCCGCUGUGCGCCCAGCCCCUUCCCAGGGCUCCAGCUCCUUGGGAACUUGGGUUUUGUGGGGUCACCCACUGGGUUCCACGGCUCUGUCUCCUCCACCGCGCACAGCGGUCAGGAACCGAGACCAGUAAUUGGGUGAGCCUCAGGCUCUUGCUGGCCCCUCUGAACUUGAGGCCUUGCUUCAAUUUGGAGCUAUCGGAAUUUUCCUUUUUGGUUCAAUUGUACAUUUAAAGUGAAUUUUUAAAAAAUACACAUCAUCCAGCAGUUUCAGAUUCAGUAGCAGGCGGCGCUUCAAAGCAGGCCAAGCCCUGGCCCCUACCUGAGGCGCCCAGCCAAGGGCCUGCAGCAGGUGCAGGCGCGCCUCUCCCCUACGCUCGCCAGAGGGCAGCAUGGAGCUGCGCGAAGCCCAGGGCAUGGGCCCGACCUAGGACACCUCUCCCUGGGAGGGGCGCGUUGGCCAGCCCCUUUCUCCCCCAGGUCUCUCUGUGCCUGUUUGAGCCCAGCCGUGAGCUCUGCGCUGUGACGACCGCACAAGAGCCAUCUGUACAUAGGCCACUGCGCUGACCCUGCUGAAGAUCCCGAGAUGUCCCAGCCCCGCCAUCACCAGGACACUGCCACGGCCCCGGCCCUGCGCACCGCCAGCCGCCUGGUGAAGGAGGUCCACGGCUCUGAAACCCAGCGCAGGGGAAGGAGGAUGGUGGAGCAGGGCUCGUGUCGUGGGGGCUCCCGGGGGUGCCCAGGAUGGGGGCCUACCCCGUGCCGUGACCCAGAAGUGCUCAGAGGGGCCUGUGCUCACACUGCCUGGUCCAGAGCCCACCCCCCACCCCGAGGAGCCCCUGGUGGAGCUGGGGUGUCGUCAGAGGUCAAACGAGCAGCUGAGGGCUGAGCCUGGACCUCUACCACAGGGUAAGGAUGGGACCUGCUCGCGGGCCUUGGGGUACCCUGGGGCUGCAGCACAAGGCGGUGGUACCUCAGGUAGCUGACGCCCAUCAGGCUGCUGCCGUUCACUUCCAGGAUGCGGUCUCCCAGGGACAGCCGGCCAUCCGACGCUGCAGGGCUACCCGGGAGCAGGGUCUGGAUGUAGAGCCCAGGGGAGCCCAGCGGCGUGUGCUGGGGGGAGAAGCAGCGGCCUCAGGGCGCCGUGGUCUUCAGUGUGUCUGCGAGGGCAGCCCUGGACACCAUCACAGCCCCCAAGGACCGAGGUGACGCUGCACGCUCUUCCCUCCUCCCGGAUUCCUGAGAACUGCCCACGCCCCAAGCCCCUGGUCCCCAGCCCUCCUCUCCUGGUGAGCUCUCACGCUGCGGGCCUGUGCAGAGGGACAACUCACCAUCCCGUCGAUCAGGCCCAUCCCCAGUCCAGAGGGGCCCCGCUCCAGCUCCACCACAAAGACAUAGCAGAAGUCCUCGGUGCUGGAGCUGUGGCUGGAGGGGGCGGCCGGGGGCUCGUCCUCGUGACCCGCCCCAUCUCCUGGGUGGGCAAGGAGACGUGCCACUGUCUACGCUGCCGCAGCAGCCCACCCCAAGCCCAGAGGCGGUGCUCACACAGCUCCUGUCGGGGGGAGGGUCUGGACUCCGUCUGUGGGCAAUGCCCCCGUGUGCCUUUGGGGCACGUCCACCCCCCCCCUUGCAGCUGCCCCAGGACACCAGCCCCUGUCAGAGGCUGGCUAGUGCCAGUGGCUGAGCGGUGGGCUCUGCCCACGGUCCCCCCAGGCUCCCUCUCUCCUGCCACAGAACUCUCCUGAGACCCUCCCCAGGCCCCCUGCCCAGUACUGGGACCCCCAGAAAGCCUGCCCUUUCUUGACUGGGGCCACCGUGAGGGUGGAGGGUUGCAUCAGUUCUCUCUUCAGGUCAGGUCAGGGCUUCGGGCAGAGCUUGCAGCCCCCAUCUCCGCACCGCUGAGCAGGUAUCCUGCCUCCGGCCUGGCUCGGCCUGGCUGUGCCUGUGCUCAGGCCACACUCCGCGGUCUGCAGCACUGUCGGGGGCUGUUCUGCCCCCAUCCAGCCCCCGGGGAGGGGGGCACACACGCCCUGCCUCCUCCCUGCCCCCCUGCCUCACACCUCCUCCCAUGUGUCACCUGAGUCCUCUCUCCCUCCGCCCUGAGUGUGGAGACUCAGUCCCAUCUGUGCAUGGUCCAGCUGCCCACCCCGUCUGGCGUCCCAGGCUAUAGGGUUCCCGGGCAGGUACUAAAAGCCCAGGCCAGACAGGCCCCCGGGACCUCAUUGGUGGAAUGACCCAAAGGGGAUCAGCCCAGGUGCCAGCAGGGCUGGGGUACAGGGCCUCACCUUCUGGAGCUGCCCCCCGGGAGCCACUUUGUCCGUUCCUCCUCCCUUCCAGGAGUGCUUGCCCACAGGUGCCACCAGGCUCUGGCCAGUCAGGGACAGCGGGCUCGAGGCCGAGUGGGGUGCCGGGAGGCGUGAGCAGGCACGAGGAGUCUGCCUGCAGGGGGCCAGCCUGGGGGCCCCCGCGGCUCUGCCUUCCCGGAGGGCCCUGUGCUCGGGGAGCCCCUGAGGAAGGAAGAGCGCGCAUCUGGCUGGCUUCACGGGCUCCCCUGGAAACCAGCGGGCAGCUCUGGCCCUCUGGGUGCCCUUCCGGGGUGGUGUGGUGUGGGCCCUGGAGGCAGGGGAGAGGGAAAAAGUUCAGGUAUUGACAGGCUGACAGGAGGGGCCCAACGUGGUGGGAGAACCAGAGGGGUCUCCCCAGCCUUCUGCAGCCGGGGCUCCACGAGCUGCCCAGGGCAGCAGCCAGGCCCUGUGUCGGACCCAGGUACCUGGAGGUACUCUGGCUGGGACGGCCCACCCCCAGGACUGGGUUUGCUGCGCAGGCUCCACAGGAAGUGGCGGAUGUAGAGGAGGUGCUGGUAGAUGCUGUCAUCCAGGCAAUCUGCUUCCAGAUCCACCUGGAAGCCCUCACUGGGCAAAACGAUAGGCGGGGGGUUUUCAUAGGACUCCAGGACAUCCUCUGCGGGGGAGGGACACACUGUGACCGGCCUGGCCAAAACAAAACUUCCUGCCCCUUACCAGGCUCACCCACCACCCCUGCCCAAUACUGUAGGGACUAGGGUCACAGCAGUGGGGCAUUCAGGCGAAGGCAGCUGCCCACACCAGCUCUCAGCCCUUCAGUCCCAGUGACCACCCAGGAUGAAGCCCAAGCUCCCAGGGAGGACACGGCCCUGCCAAGUGGAACCUCUGCCUCACCCCCAGCUCCACCCGCCCCUCUGGGCACUCCCGGCCUGUGCUGACUGCAUUCCGCAUGUGUCACCGUGAUCCAUUAGCUGGUGGCACGUGUCUGUACUAGAACAGGAGCCCGGUCCGACAGCAAGAAGGCCAGCACCCACACAAUUUGGGGCUCCUGGCAGAGAGCCUCCCAUGCGGCCGGCCUCAGGAGUGAGGAGGGGCCCAGGGUCCCGCUCAGACCACUGGCUCCAUCCAGGCCAAGGCUCCAGGUGAUAGGGGCACAGCAGAAUGUCGCCCACGGCCUUAUUUCUAGCUGCACUUUCUACCUUCUUUUAAUUUCCAUCUCUGUAUCACGAUGUCGUGCAACGAAAAGAGGUGGGCAUCUAUUUGUAAAUCACACGUAUAUGCACAUACAGAGGCCCAUGUCCACUGUGUGGGGCAAGCACACCACCUCCCCCUCAGUGUGGGGACCUGCUCUCCUCCUGGUGGGUGGUGCACAGAGCAAGGCCCCAUCCUUGCGCUCCUCGAUGGGGAGGGGACCUCUGGCCUGACCCAGAGGUUGGAACUGGGCCAUGGACUGUAGACUCUGACAUCCAGCUGUGGGAUCUCAGAGUCCCUAGGCAGGGGACAGACCCAGGCACUCAGGAGGAAGAUGGCCCCAGAUGCUCUGCGGGCUCCUCUAGGGAAGUCCCCCAGGGAGGCUCCCCUUUGCCCCCAACACAGCCCACAGGACCCCUUGCUCCUGCCCCUGGGACGGCAGCUCACCUGACUUGAAGGCAUCGGGGCUGUCCUGGGCACCCGGCUCCCAGGCGCUCAUGGGGCCCAUGGCCGAGGCCAGCUGGUACUGAGUCAGCAGCCGGUGCAGCUGUGCGGGGCUCAGGGUGGGGAACGCAGCCCGCAGGUUUGCCCAGCUCAUCUGGGUGACAAGAAGGAGCUUGUGGUCAAGACCCCUGGGGGGGCACAGCUACACCCCCAGGGAGGGUCUGCCGGGCACUCUGCGGGCAGGGGCAGAGGCCUGUAAGGGCUGAUGAGGCCAGCAAGGGGGUCAAAGCCCCAGAGGUGGCCGUUCCUAGGGGCCAGCAGGCACCACACCGCACGCUGUGCCCCCGACAUGCCUCUCACCGCAUCGUGGCAGGGCCGAGAAGGGAGGGAAGGAGCCCUGGGGACACAGGGCAAGAGAAACGGGAUUCCUGCCUCACGGCAUGGAAGAGUCGUCGACCCGGCAGCCUCAAGACUCCAUGACGGCACAGCCUUCCACCACCUGGGACCCCCGAGACUGGCUCUGUGGGCACAGGACAGGGAGGCUCCUCCAGGGGGGCUGGCCGCCCAAGCCAUGCAGAAAAGGGCAGACUUGUGCACGAUGACGUCAAACAGCUUGCACGUCCCCUGGACCACAGUCUCUCCCGCAGCUUCCUGACAGGUGCCCCGAGGACCCCCGCUGACCCUGCCCAUCGGGGCCGGCCCACGCUCACGCCCUGGGUGGCGUGUGGUGGCUCAUUGUCCCCCAGCUCCUGAGGUUGCUCUUCAAAGUUGGAAAACACUCCGUUGGCUAAUCUUCGGGAUGUGUCCCGUCUUUAUUCUUCCAGGAAGUUCACAGAUUUCUCGCUCCCAAGGUCCCGACACCCUGGCGCUGAGUCCCCCCUGCAAGUCGGUCUGGCCGCCGAGCUGCUCAGCCGCAGGCACCUCCAGAAGCUCUGGGUCAGCGGCCCGGGACCUCGGGGUCUGGGCUGCCACUUGCUGCGCGCUCUGCACUCCUGCUGUUUGGACCUGGGCCUUGUUGGCCGGCGCCCUCCUCCCAUCUUGCCUUCGCUCCUCUGCUUCACUGUCUCCCGGGUUUACUGCCAAGAGGCCGGGGCUGCGGUUAGCAGGGCUUAACAACAACAGAAGAAUUUGGGAUGGUGACUAUUUGUGGCCCGCAAAGCCUACAGUAUUGACCACCUGGCCCUUUACAGAGAAGUCUGUCAACCCCUGAUCGGUGUCCCCCGACCUCAUCUCCCCGAGCCCGUGUCUCUCGUGUUGGAAGCCACUCACUCCCGUUUCAGCGUGGGUGCUGGGUCUGCCUGGCUGCCUCACGGUGGGACCCAUGUCUGCAUCCUCCAUCCCCAGCUCCCAGCUCCCACCAACCACCCAGCACCGCUAGGUCAGCCACCUGCUGCGGGGGAGGGCACAGGUCCCAGCCAAGCCGGCAGUGGCACACAGCCUCCAGCACUCAGAAGCCACUUGGCCCCUGAGAAGCCCCCUUUAUCGGGGUGAGACUUCUGGUGUCGGGCUGACAGCCUGGUUUCCUAGCCUGGACACCCUUUGUCUUCAGUGCUCUAGAAAUGAGCCCUGGUCUUCUGCUGGCAAGUGUGAGGAAAGGGCCGGCACCCGGCUGUGUAGGAAGGGGGGCAGCAGAGCACCCAGAGUGCCCGCUUCAUCCUCUUCCCGUGCAUGUCGUGUUGGAAGUACCACGAACACACGGGAACCGUACACGUCCAAGGUGCCCAACUGCUGUUCACAGGGGGGCCAGCCGAUGCUCCCAGCUGAGGACAGGAGCGGAGAGCAGCCCAGGCCCCACCACUCCCCUGCAGAGCAGCGUCCCGACUCCAAUGCUACAGCCGCAGCCGGGCUUCCUCCCUCGGGAGGAAGGUCCUGAUGCUGGGACCACAAUAAUCCCUGCACCCCGGGCCUGACUCUCGCUCACCGACACUGCUCAUGGUUGCCGACGGCCACACAUCCACGUCACUGUGCAGAAGUGCACACCGGUGGAUGCACCCCACUUUGUUCACCCCUUGUGCCGCUGAGUGCUCUUUGGGGCUCUACACCUGUGACAUCCCCGUCUGCCUCUGCGAAGUGCAGGCCAAAGCACUUCUUGCCGGAGAACCAGUCAGCUGCCCUGACUAUGAACACUGUUAAAUGUGUCCCCCAGUUUUACUGAGAUGCAAUCAUUACUACUCAUUUUUAAUAUAGGGUCGGAAUGAUGUACCCUUCAUUCUGGUAUCAGCAAUUUGUAAUUCCCCACCUUCAUUAGACUUUUCAAAGAGCCACUCCUGGCUUUCUGCUCUUUUCUGUUCCCCGUUUACAGAUCUUGGGGUUGGAAGGAGCAAGAGCAGCACCUCCUCCUGCUCC
This is a long non-coding RNA of Canis lupus familiaris (dog), 6996 nucleotides long. RefSeq lists it as uncharacterized. The transcript has 3 exons. Lineage: Eukaryota; Metazoa; Chordata; Mammalia; Carnivora; Canidae. The record is from RefSeq and is a predicted model, not a curated record.